RNAcentral lists this long non-coding RNA (1638 nucleotides) under Oreochromis niloticus (Nile tilapia). RNAcentral's name for it is "lncRNA (ENSONIG00000022424.2)". Lineage: Eukaryota; Metazoa; Chordata; Actinopteri; Cichliformes; Cichlidae. The record is from RNAcentral.
AUGAAGUACGGUUGCAACCCGUUCUCACUCCCGAGGCGUAAAUUACUGACGAUUUGUCACGUCCCUUAACUUCUCAUGCUGACGCUGAAGGUACCCUUCCACGUUUUUAUGCGACGCUGUGGGUUGUCAAUUCAUUCCAAUAUGAACCCGCUCUCGGCGAUCAGAGACGCUUCGAGCAGAGGCUCCGGCCAUCCAUUUACUCCAAUAAUAACCCCGUCACGGCGAAACGUGACGAACGGGUUUUUCUCCCUAAUUUAAUGCUUUCUUUUAAUGACAUCCUUAACAUUUCUCAACAAAAACACAUGAAAGUAACACUGAUAAUUCAACAAUAAAAUCGCUUCAUUUUCCAAAGUGAUUCACGAUCUGAAAGUGCUCAGAUUUAACGUACAUAAUCCUUGGUUGGGUUUAUUAUUUUUAUUUCACACUUAAAACACAUUUAUAGUUUUAUUCACCACUCCUGUUAGUUUUGGAUGCGCUCGGCUCCAACCAAUCAGACGCAACCUGUGUAAGCAAAGGAUGAUGGGAGAACGGAGAGACCCGUUUAUAAGAAUAAGAAAAGGAGGCGGAAUUGAUUGAUUCUAAUGCAGAUCAGCAUCAAUGUCCACGUGAAGAACCUAGUUAUGUUGCCAGUGUCAACCCAACAAAAGGCACUUUCACAAUAUAUAAAAGAAGUGUAUGGAACUGAGGUGCUUCCUCAGGUUGUUGGAGGAUGGAGAAGAGGACGCAGCCGUGACUUGUGAGAUGGCGUCUGAGUCAGCUACUACUCACUAGGAGAUCAGAAACAUGGUGUCCUUGCAAAAGUGGAAAGAGGCCAGGCCUUGUCUUAUAGACAAAAUGUUAUCUACUCUGGAUCCACAGUCACACCGUGUGUGUCAGUGUGGCAAACAAGUAGUUGUGAGGUGUCUGGACUGCCUGCCUCUUCCAUUCCUUUGUGCUGACUGUGAUAUUGCAGUUCACACACGCUUUGUCCUGCACAACCAAGAGGCAGUAACAGGAGGGUUUUUGCAGCCUUCAUCAGAGUUUCACAAGCCAAUAGUUCGGCUGUUGCCUGUGCAAAGGCCAGACCAUGUGUGUGACUGCCAAGCAGGCCGUUAUAACCUUGCACUGCCAGUGGUGAGCUGCACCACCUGUGACUUAAUGUGGUCCCCCUCAGUUAAGGACAUCCUGGGUAGUGGAUAUUGGCCUGGCACCUUAAAUUUCUGCACCCUGUUUUCAAUGGAUGCCUUUCAGUCUUUCUAUGACAUUAAGAAGGCUGCACCAGGGAUGUCAUGUCACUUAAGGCAUUUGUCAAAAUGCUGGAUGAAAGAACAGCCCAUUUUUGAAGGACUGGCCGAAUAUCAGCUGAUGCCUUCAGUAAAAGCUUUGUGGAGUGGAGUGCUGUUUGAGAUGGACAGGAUGUGCAAGGAGCCAUGCGUUAGCUGCCCUGCCUGCACUCCAGACGUGCUUGCCGUCUCAGUUGAUGGAAACUGGAAGCUUUAUCGCAUUCAAUCAAAUACAAGCACUUCAGAGCAGGCGAACUUUGAAGGUGUCUUCAUUGAGAAAGAUGAGGAAGUUGCUGAGUUUAUGAAAUACAUCCAGAGACACACAAAUGAUCGUCCCAGGACAUAUUACUUUCCUUUGCUCCGAUGUGUCCUGUAA